This 420-nucleotide ribosomal RNA is filed under the name uncultured bacterium. RNAcentral's name for it is "partial 16S ribosomal RNA". It matches the Rfam family "Bacterial small subunit ribosomal RNA", at positions 360 to 773 of the family's 1533-position model. The record is from RNAcentral.
AAUUUUGGACAAUGGGGGAAACCCUGAUCUAGCCAUCCCGCGUGUAUGAUGUAGGCCUUCGGGUUGUAAGUAAUUUUGGCAGAGAAGAAAAGGUAACUCCUAAUACGAGAUACUGCUGACGGUAUCUGCAGAAUAAGCACCGGCUAACUACGUACCAGCAGACGCGGUAAUACGUAGGGUGCAAGCGUUAAUCGGAAUUACUGGGCGUAAAGCGUGUGUAGGCGGUUCGGAAAUGAAGAUGUGAAGACCCAGGGCUCAACCUUGGAACUGCAUUUUUAACUGCCGAGCUAGAGUAUGUCAGAGGGAGGUAGAAUUCCACGUGUAGUAGUGAAAUGCGUAGAUAUGUGGAGGAAUACCGAUGGCGAAGGCAGCCCCCUGGGAUAAUACUGACGCUCAGACACGAAAGCGUGGGGAGCAAAC